GGCCGCUGCACGUGAUUGAGCGCAACUGCGCUAAUUUUUUCUUUUUUUCUCAGUGUCUGGAUGAAGUCGGAAUGGAGUGAUGAUGGUCAUUACAUCACUUUUUUAUACAGGCAAUUUCUGCUGGGCGAUAGAUUGUUUCUGGAGAUACGGGCUGUGAGAGUGGAGAGGGCGAAAUUUCUGAAGGCAAAAGAAAAGAAAGUCAGACAGGUUUGGAAAGACAUGAGGGUGAUGGGACGCAGCCAUAAAAAGACAUCUGUUGUUGAAGCGUACAGGAGCCCGAUGAGACCACGCUUCUUUAAUUAACCAGGCCUUCUCUAAAGCGCCACCAGAGAGAUGAGUGAUCUUUGUAAGACACCGGCGAUAUUUAAUAUCUGAUUAAAAUCAGCCUCACGAUAAGAUUUUACAACGAGGCACUUAAGAGUACAGUAAAUGUGAAGCUCUUUAAUGUGGA
RNAcentral lists this long non-coding RNA (451 nucleotides) under Danio rerio (zebrafish). RNAcentral describes it as "lncRNA si:ch211-244l7.1 (ENSDARG00000094865.3)". The record is from RNAcentral. Lineage: Eukaryota; Metazoa; Chordata; Actinopteri; Cypriniformes; Danionidae.